RNAcentral lists this transfer RNA (144 nucleotides) under Lachnellula suecica. Its description in RNAcentral is "tRNA-Asn". It matches the Rfam family "tRNA". From Rfam's summary of the family: Transfer RNA (tRNA) molecules are approximately 80 nucleotides in length. Their secondary structure includes four short double-helical elements and three loops (D, anti-codon, and T loops). Further hydrogen bonds mediate the characteristic L-shaped molecular structure. tRNAs have two regions of fundamental functional importance: the anti-codon, which is responsible for specific mRNA codon recognition, and the 3' end, to which the tRNAs corresponding amino acid is attached (by aminoacyl-tRNA synthetases). tRNAs cope with the degeneracy of the genetic code in two manners: having more than one tRNA (with a specific anti-codon) for a particular amino acid; and 'wobble' base-pairing, i.e. permitting non-standard base-pairing at the 3rd anti-codon position. Lineage: Eukaryota; Fungi; Ascomycota; Leotiomycetes; Helotiales; Lachnaceae. The record is from RNAcentral.
UCCGAAAUAGUGCAACGGUAGCAUAUCUGCCCAUUAUCCAACUGGGGCGGUUUAAUGUGUAAGCAUUGACCCGCUUCAAUGUCACCGCAUUGAACAUACCCCGUUGGCGCGCAGGAGAUCAGGGUUCAAUUCCUUGUUUCGGGA